CUGUCAUACACAUGGCAACCAGAAGGUGGCACGGUCUUAACAUCGACCGAGGUCUGUCAGCUCUACUCUUGAAUCCAAGCAGAUUUAUUUGUGAAGGUAACUGCUGAUUGCACUACAUACAUGCAUUUAUGCAUUUGUGUCUUUCCUCAACUACAUAGAAACAAACCUCUUCCUACGCCUGAAAACUGAGAACUCUUUGCUUGUUUCCAUUUUCUUUUUAUCCCCUCUCCCCUCCUCACCUAUACAAUUAAUAUUGUUUUGGUUAAGCUUCAGAGGACUUGAAUACAGCUCUGUAUUUAUCUUCCUGUUAGAAGCAUUUGGUUAAUGAAACCUAAAUGAAGCCUCAUGAUUUGCAUCUUUCUUAUGUCUUAUUUGUAACCACUUGCAUCAUGAGAAGAAGACCUUAAUUUUAUAUUCAUUCAUUAGUAGAGUUUCAUUCAAAUAGUAAUUAACUCUUUGGUCAAAAUUAACAAAAUGAAUUACUAGUAUUGAGUGGUGUGCAUGCAUAUAAUUCAAAAGGACAUUAUAAAUUUCUGAUGUGUUACACAUUAGAUUUAUAUUGCAGGUUCCAUUAUAAAGAAAAGGCCACGAAUUCACUAGUAUUUUUCUUUCUUUAAGAGAAAAGAGAACAUGCCUUUGUCUUUUAUGAAACUGGCUAUAUGAAGAUUCAUGAGAGACCUUAAUGACAGAAGUGAACAAUGUGUAGACAAGCUGACAACAUUUCAUCACAAUCUUUCCUCAUCCCUAAAACACAAAGACAAAUGGCAGUUAAGAGGUAAAAUAUUUGCUGAGCAACACGAAGGUUUAGAGUGAAUGCCUGAAGAUCUUUGCCAUCACCUUCUCUUCUGCAGAUAGCGCAGUGAUUGGGAGAGGAGAAGGGGGAAAUGUGAGCUGUCACGUACGAUUUGCAUGCAUCUGAAUACACACUGUAUACACACUAACUCAAAGUGGUUCAUGAGAUAUUCCCAUUAACUCACAGUGAUGGCAUCUGCAUUUUAUAAUGUCAGAGGAGCUCACUGAAAAUAAUAGACUUGAGAAUAAUAUAAGUGUAUAAGAAUAAAAUAAAAAUAAAAAAUCAGAAGUAGUGUGGCCAGCUUGGCUACAACCACUACCUUUUUGUGCUUUCUCUCCUGAGGCAUCCUGGUUCAUGCUUCCUUCAUGGUCCCUGGAUCUGGAAAUCUUCACACUGUUCCACAUGUAAACCUCUAUUGAGCCAUUUAGUUCUAGUUUCUGCUCACAAAACUUUUCCCUGACAUUUAUGGUAAUUAUUAUAUCAUAAUUAUUCAUAUCUGUAACUGAGUCUGCAAGAGUGACUCCCUUAUUUUCCCUCAUAAAUUCAACUCACGUUCAUUAAGCAGUUAUGUGCCUGGCCAUAUUCCAAGUACAAAAAAUACACAGAUAAAGGGAGAAAAUAGUAAACAAGUAAACAAUAAAUAAUUUCAAAUAUCAAGUGUUGUGAUAGAGUACUUAGGCACUCAGAGGUGAAACAGAAGCAGAAGAGGCUUCAGAGGAAAGUGAGGAGUACUGCCCGUUAGGUAGGAGUAUUCCAGAAAAGAAAGUGUGUGAAGAAGAAAAGACUGCCCAGUUUUAUCAACUGCCGUCUGCUUGUGAACUUCGGCAAGGGGAAGCCAAUGAAGACCUUAAUAAGUAUAUUUGGAUGGAAUGAUGGGAACAAAGGCUUUUCCUGGGGGGAGAAUGCAGAAAAUAAAAAGACAGGCAUUCUGUUUCAUUCAUCUUUGUACCAUUUUUGUACCUCCAUUGUCUAAUACAUAGUAGUCAUUUAAUAAAUGUUGCCUAAAUAUACAAAUUUCCUGGUCCUUUACC
Molecule: long non-coding RNA, 1824 nt
Filed under: Macaca mulatta (Rhesus monkey)
Lineage: Eukaryota; Metazoa; Chordata; Mammalia; Primates; Cercopithecidae
Description: lncRNA (ENSMMUG00000059977.1)
Source: RNAcentral